GACGAACGCUGGCGGCGUGCUUAACACAUGCAAGUCGAACGGAAAGGCCCUGCUUUUGUGGGGUGCUCGAGUGGCGAACGGGUGAGUAACACGUGAGUAACCUGCCCUUGUCUUUGGGAUAACUUCAGGAAACUGGGGCUACUACCGUAUAGGAGCCCCCGCUGCAUGGUGGGCGUUGGAAAUUUUCGGCGGUUGGGGAUGGACGCGCGGCUUAUCAGCUAGUUGGUGGGGUAGUGGCUUACCAAGGCUUUGACGGGUCGCCGGCACGGGAGGGUGACCGGCGACAAUAGGACUGCGAUACGGCCCAGACUCCAACGGUGGGCAGCAGUGGGGAAUAUGGCACAGUGGUCGGAAGCCGGAUGCAGCAACGCCGCGUGCGGGAUGACGGCCUGCGGGUUGUAAACCGCUUUCGCCUGUGACGAAGCGUGAGUGACGGUAAUGGGUAAAGAAGCACCGGCUAACUACGUG
This 468-nucleotide ribosomal RNA is filed under the name uncultured bacterium. RNAcentral's name for it is "partial 16S ribosomal RNA". It matches the Rfam family "Bacterial small subunit ribosomal RNA", at positions 28 to 507 of the family's 1533-position model. The record is from RNAcentral.